GACGAACGCUGGCGGCGUGCCUAAUACAUGCAAGUAGAACGCACAGUUUAUACCGUAGCUUGCUACACCAUAGACUGUGAGUUGCGAACGGGUGAGUAACGCGUAGGUAACCUGCCUGGUAGCGGGGGAUAACUAUUGGAAACGAUAGCUAAUACCGCAUAAUAUUGAUUAUUGCAUGAUAAUUGAUUGAAAGAUGCUAUUGCAUCACUACCAGAUGGACCUGCGUUGUAUUAGCUAGUAGGUGAGGUAACGGCUCACCUAGGCGACGAUACAUAGCCGACCUGAGAGGGUGAUCGGCCACACUGGGACUGAGACACGGCCCAGACUCCUACGGGAGGCAGCAGUAGGGAAUCUUCGGCAAUGGACGAAAGUCUGACCGAGCAACGCCGCGUGAGUGAAGAAGGUUUUCGGAUCGUAAGGCUCUGUUGUAAGAGAAGAACGGGUGUGAGAGUGGAAAGUUCACACUGUGACGGUAUCUUACCAGAAAGGGACGGCUAACUACGUG
Molecule: ribosomal RNA, 505 nt
Filed under: uncultured bacterium
Lineage: Bacteria
Description: partial 16S ribosomal RNA
Rfam family: Bacterial small subunit ribosomal RNA
Source: RNAcentral